AUGCAGAAGGCCCUUACCACUCUCUACCAGAAAGGAGAUUCCAGAAAUAGACACUAUAUACAAAUCACUUCUUUGUACAGUGAAGGACAGGAAGAACUCGUACAACAAAGACAGCAGGCAACAGUUAAAUACAAGGAGACUGAUUACCUCAGCGCACCUUUAUUCCAGGAGUUCUGCUCUGAAGUAAGGCUCCGAAUAUGAUUAUCCUGUUUUUACAGUUUUUUUUGUUUUGGUAUUCCUUUGGUUUAGUUGCACAGUUCCUGCAUGUGGCCUGUGUAAUUUACAAUUCAAACGUGAGAGCUCACUGAUGGCAUUUUAACGAACAACGAAUGAUGGAAGUGAACACAGAUUAAAACAAAAAAGACCUAAAACAGAAAACUUCAAAGCACACUCUCUAAAAAGAUUGCAACCCAGACACGAUUGUAGACAGGUUAAAUGAAAGAUGGAAGACAUCACAGGAGUGAGUGUUUUUAUCUUCUCAAAAGUCUGUGCCUCUGGCCCAUGUGCAUCUGUUAACUGGUAAUUCUAAUCUUUGAAAGUCCAUUUUCUCCCCC
Molecule: long non-coding RNA, 554 nt
Filed under: Fukomys damarensis (Damara mole-rat)
Lineage: Eukaryota; Metazoa; Chordata; Mammalia; Rodentia; Bathyergidae
Description: lncRNA (ENSFDAG00000030078.1)
Source: RNAcentral